Non-coding RNA from Pangasius djambal, 69 nucleotides. The record is from the annotation of a GenBank genome assembly. NCBI's taxonomy places the organism in Eukaryota, Metazoa, Chordata, Actinopteri, Siluriformes, Pangasiidae.
GGCGUGGUGGCAUAGUGGUUAGCACAUUUGCCUUGCAAAGCCUUGGGGGUUCGAAUCCCACCUCAGUGG